CGCGCGCGCGCGCUGCGCGCUCGAUCGAGCGCGCAGCGCGCGCGCGCG
RNAcentral lists this unclassified non-coding RNA (48 nucleotides) under Canis lupus familiaris (dog). RNAcentral's name for it is "RNA Expansion segment ES9 from Canis lupus familiaris (PDB 4V5Z, chain BG)". Lineage: Eukaryota; Metazoa; Chordata; Mammalia; Carnivora; Canidae. The record is from RNAcentral.